UAGUCCACGCCGUAAACGAUGGAUACUAGCUGUUCGGACUUCGGUCUGAGUGGCCAAGCGAAAGUGAUAAGUAUCCCACCUGGGGAGUACGUUCGCAAGAAUGAAACUCAAAGGAAUUGACGGGGGCCCGCACAAGCGGUGGAGCAUGUGGUUUAAUUCGAUGAUACGCGAGGAACCUUACCAGGGCUUAAAUGUAGAUUGCAUAGAGUGGAGACAUUCUUUUCUUCGGACUAGUUACAAGGUGCUGCAUGGUUGUCGUCAGCUCGUGCCGUGAGGUGUCGGGUUAAGUCCCAUAACGAGCGCAACCCCUAUCGUUAGUUACCAUCAGGUCAUGCUGGGGACUCUAGCGAGACUGCCGGUGUAAACCGCGAGGAAGGUGGGGAUGACGUCAAAUCAGCACGGCCCUUACGUCCAGGGCCACACACGUGUUACAAUGGCCGGUACAGAGGACAGCUACCUAGCAAUAGGAUGCCAAUCCCAGAAAGCACGUCCCAGUUCGGAUUGGAGUCUGCAA
Molecule: ribosomal RNA, 514 nt
Filed under: uncultured bacterium
Lineage: Bacteria
Description: bacterial SSU rRNA
Rfam family: Bacterial small subunit ribosomal RNA
Source: RNAcentral